CAUAUAAUACGUUAAUAAGACAUUAAGAAUGAGAUCUGAAAAGGUCAAAUGCCUAUUUGGUAUCAAAAGUACACUAUUUGGAGUGUAUUUGCACUGUUUUAAGCAUUCGUGGUAUAUAACGAACGUGCAUUGGAUACGCUUUGGAACUUAAGAAAAUAAACACAUAUAAUACGCUAAUGAGACGUUAUGACUGAGUUAUCAUAAGAUGAAAUGCUUAGUUGGUGUCAAAAGUACACUGUUUGGAGUGUACUUACACUGUUUUCAGCAUUCAUUGGAUAAAACGAUCGUGCGUUGGAUACGCUUUGGAACUUAAGCAAAUAAACACGUAUAAUACAUUAAGAA
Molecule: long non-coding RNA, 342 nt
Filed under: Malus domestica (apple)
Lineage: Eukaryota; Viridiplantae; Streptophyta; Magnoliopsida; Rosales; Rosaceae
Description: long non-coding RNA (MDOM_LNC018443)
Source: RNAcentral